This is a long non-coding RNA of Dunckerocampus dactyliophorus (ringed pipefish), 4622 nucleotides long. RefSeq lists it as uncharacterized. The transcript is spliced from 4 exons. The record is from RefSeq and is a predicted model, not a curated record. Lineage: Eukaryota; Metazoa; Chordata; Actinopteri; Syngnathiformes; Syngnathidae.
GGAAGAGAAGGCAUGCAGCAGGUUGAUGUGCACUUUGACCUAAAAACAAAAAAUGACUCCACUAUCAUAUCGGGGACAUCCGUUUUGACAAUGCUGUGCUGAGAGUUGAAGUACACCAUGGAAAGAGGCUGGCGCUCUGUGGGGACGCAACAAGAUGAUGCCGCCGUGUUGAUGCCGUUGACCUUCAGCUGGCUCAGGACGGUGGCGUGGAAGGAGGAGGCGAUGCCGGGUGACCCAGACAGAUGCUGGGGGCACUGCCCCAUGCAGUAGUUCAUGUGGUAGCCCUCAGGCGCAAUGAUCCAGUCGUGCCACUGUAUGUCCUUAAACUUGAUAUAGAAGUCUCGCUUGCAGCACACGGUGAUGUCAUCGCCGCACCUCAAGGAGCGCUUCCUCAGCAAGUGUUUGGCAGGGUCUUCACGGAGGCGCACCUGCGCCACCAGAAAGGGCUGGAAGGGCGUAUCAGGAGAGGUUUCCAGCGCGCAGAGAUUCCUCCCGUCCUCCUCGCAGAUCACCUCCAGGCGGAGCCGCUUCUGGCCCCCGUCCAGGAAGGCCUGCAGGGUGCGGCUGAUGGGGAAGGUGUGCCAGUUACUCUCCUGGACCUCCAGCAUCUUCUCGAUCACCAGGGUGCGGUUUGAGUCUGCAGUCAGGAAGACGCGGGCCGCGACUUGGAAAGGGUGCUUGGAGGAGUGGACAUAAAUCCAGAGAGAUGACUGCAGCACCUGGACACUCUGGCCGCGUUCUUGCAGGAACUGGAAGGGUACCAUCUUGCCUGACGCGCCCUGAGUGCAGUUUGCGCAGCGCAGUGAGCAGCGCCACCCGCGGCACCGUCGGAGACAUCCUGGGUCUCUCCUUCAGGUGCAGCUUGUCCAAAAUUUGCUGCUUGGCCAUCUCCACCAUCAGCCUCUCCUCUGCAUCCUUCCCCAGGGGAGAACGAGGGCCGCAGGACGCGCAGCCUGGGGGGCUCCCUCUCACCCAGAGAGCCUCCAGGAGCAACAAAAAGAGAAAUGAAGAGGACUGCGCCAUCUCCAUUGAAUAGAACAAGUCUUUUCGUUUCUGUUUCUGCUCAGAUGUCCUUGUCUCCUUGCAGCUGGACGCCGUGCAGAGUUGGGCUUACUUCGGGCAAGUUCUGCAGUGAUGUUUCCAGCGUCCUGCUGGUGAAGAUAUCUGGUGGGGUAAUCCACCAAAAGUGGUGACACGUUGGAGGGACGCACCAAUGAGCGCACCGUGUGUGGAAUGAACUUUACUGGCAACGCAUCUGCAGACACGCACAAACACUCACAUGCACGGCGGGUGACUUGACUCACUCACAAUGACCCAAAAAACACGGGCAAGGGCGAACAAGUACGUGGGACACAUGCACGUCCUGUAUGAGGAUUGAAACCACCACAUGGGUCCAUCAAAGUUGGAUUUGGGUACCCUUUCACCCAGUUACAACAUGCUGCACAAGUGCAAGCGUGAGUCACCAAGCACCAAACACGUAAUGUAGGAAAACUACAACCACCUGUGUGCAGAUCUAUUUAUCUAUGCUAUGCACUCAUUACUGAAUGCAUGCACUCACCAUCUUGCCUGACGCGCCCUGAGUGCAGUUUGCGCAUGUUAAAGUAUAUUAACAUGUAAUAUGCCUCAUGAAAACUCUGAUGCAUGAGAAAAGUGCCCUUCAUAUGUUAUUUUUGUGUAUUAGGCUAGGACAAUAAGACUGCGGUACGCGACUGCCGACGUGUGGACAAUCCUUGCAACUGCAACAACACUUUUUUUGAUCAUUGGGCCUACUGCAUGUAAUACACAAAAACACAAAUUUACUUUGCUUUUACUUAUUUGAGAAUUAGCCAAUAAAUGUACAGUUUGGGUGUAGAAAUUACAAUAAGAAAUAUGUACAGUAAGAAACAUACAAGGUGUGUCUGAAAAGUAACGGAACUGGUGUCACAAACAAUUUAUUUCAAGUCCAAACAACAGUUUACAUGGUUUCACCUUCAAAGUAACCCGCCGCAAGUCUAAUGCGCUUUUUCAUCCUUCUCUGCCACGCUUCUAUGCAACUGCCGGAAGGAUUCUCCGUCGUUACAGCCCUCUUGAUGGCCUCCGCGACUUCAAAACGGGUCCCCUUGAUGACCCCCUUAAGCUUGGGGAAAAGAAAAAAGUCACACAGAGCAAGGGCAGGCCAAUAAGGGAGGUUGUCCCAGCACAGUGAUAUUGAUCUCGGCCAAGGUCAGGGCAUUGUGAGCAGGUGCGUUGUCGUGGUGAAGUAGCCACAAGUUGUCCUGCCACAACUCUCAUCUCUUCUCGCCAACUGAGCAAAGCAAACACUGCUGGACCUCUCUGUAGACAUUCUGAUCUCCCAAGAUAUGAUGGUAAAUUUUCACAAUUUGCUAAUCCCUCUUUUGCCCAUAGCUUGUACAGCACACCAAGUCCCGUUACUUUUCAGACACACCUUGUACAUCCUUCCAUCCAUCUUCUAUGCCGCUUGUCCUCACUAGGGUGGCUGGCUUUGGGUGAGAGGCGGGAAACACCCUGGACUGGUCGCCAGCCAAUCGCAGGGCACAUAUAGACAAGCAACCAUUCACUCACACAUUCACACCUAUGGACAAUUUAGAGUUGCCACCUAACAUGCAUGUUUUUGGAAGGUGGGAGGAAACCGAAGUACCCAGAGAAAACCCAUGCACGCACGGGGAGAACAUGCAAACUCCGCACAGAAAUGCUCAAGGAAAGGAUGCAAGAGCCACUUUGAUAUUUGGCAAAACAACAUGUAGAUAUGCUAAAAAGUUAUAUUCAACUCAAUUCAGUUUAUUCAUAUUGUGCCAAAUCUCAACAGCAGUUAUCUCAUGGCACUUUAUACAUGAAGGUCACACUCAUAAAUGAAAACAGAACCAAUCAAAACCCCACAUGAGCAAGCGCUUGCUGACAGAGGUGAGGAAAAACUCCCACUGGGGUAGAAACCUUGUGAACAGAACCAAGGUUCGGUGGGGCAGUCGUCUGUCUCGAUGGUUUGGGUUGAGAUAGAAAAAUAAGAGUAGAAGGAUAGAUAGCAGAUCAAGCCACAAAACAGGAGAGUCUUUAUCUUAGUCCAAGGAACAUAGAGGAGUGUCUCUGCUACAUAUCAGCGAAUCAUGGGUCAGUUCUAACUGUAUGCUUUAGCAAAAAGGUGGGUUUUGAGUUGACUUUUAAAUAGAGUGAGAGUGUCUGCCACCCCGGAUUGAGUCGGGGAGAUGAUUGGAUAAAAGGGGAGCCUGAUAACUUAAAAAGUGGCAAGUAAGUGUAAAUUCUGGGAAUGCAGUGUUCUACUGGGCUGAUAGAGUACUAUCAUCUCUUUAGAUAUACUGGUGCCUGACCGUGUACUGCAGUGGUCGCCAACGUUUUUUCUUGUGGGAGCUCUUUUUACAAAAUGAAAAUGGCCAAGAGCUACUCAUUUUUGUAACAUUCGUAGCUUAUUUCAAGCCAAACAAACUCAGUAUGCUUGUUUUACCACAACAUGAACAAAAUGCUGGUAUCCACAACUCACAUUUUGUAUUUCAGAAUGCAUUUCUUUCUAGUGUUCUCACAUUAUUAACUGAAAACCUGAAUGAAAAGCAGGCUUGCGGGCGCCUCGUGGUCUUGGAGAAGUGCUUUAUACUGGAUGUAAGAAGGACAAUUUUAAACUCAAAUCUAAAUUUUACAGGUAACCAGUGCAGUGAGGCUAAUAAGGGUGAAAUAUGAUUUCUUCUUCUGGUUCCAGUUAAGACUCGUGCAGCAGUAUUUUGGACCAACUGAAAGGUCUUUAAAGACUUCUUAGGGUAACAUAUAAGUAACAGAGAGUUACAGUAAUCCAGUGCUUCUCAAAUAGUGGGGCGGGCCCCCCUGGUUGGGGGGUACGAUGAACUGUCAUGGGGGACGUGAGAGGCAGGGAGGACUUUCAGUAUUAGUGCAGACCUGCCAACAUGUCGGAAUUUGCCGUACUCAGCAUGCAAGUUGACUCUUGAAUAUGCUUAUGUUCUUCACUGCUUUCCUUUCUGUUGCAUUUUGCUGCUUUCAGUCUGUACAGUACAGAUAAAUAAAUAGAUAUUAUCAGUUUAUCAGGACAGAAAAUAAUUGACAACCACUGCAAUAGGUUUUUCAGCAUCUGGUAGUGGCAGGAAUUUUUUGGGAUGUUUUGUAAAUGGAAAAAUACUGUUCUUGACACUUGUCGUAUUUGGAAGCUAAAGGAAAGGUCCUGAUCAAAGAUGACACCAAGGUUUCUGACUAUACUGUGGGGAGGGAGUGCAAGACCAUCUAGGGCAGUAAUAGCAUUUGCAAUCUUGUCUCGGAGGUGCUGGGAACCAAGAGCUAUGAUUUCAGUUUUAUCCGAGUUUUUUAGUAAAAGGUUUGAGGUCAUCAAGCUCUUGAUGUCUGUAAGACAUGCCUGGAUUUUGGAAAGCUGACUAGUUUCGUUAGAUUUCAUUGAUAAACAGAGUUCUGUGUCAUCUGCAUAGCAUUUAAGGUCAAUGGAGUGUUUUCUGAUGAUAUUGCCUUAGGGGGACAGACAGUAUAAAGGAUGAACAAUACAGGUCCUAUGACAGAACCCUGUGGGAUGCCAUGACUGACCUUGCCGUGUCUGGAUUCUUUAGAAUGGAUACAUACUGCAGGCGAUCUGACAACCGUUUUAAUGCAGUUCC